This 253-nucleotide ribosomal RNA is filed under the name uncultured bacterium. Its description in RNAcentral is "partial 16S ribosomal RNA". It matches the Rfam family "Bacterial small subunit ribosomal RNA", at positions 524 to 776 of the family's 1533-position model. The record is from RNAcentral.
UACAGAGGUCUCAAGCGUUGUUCGGAUUCAUUGGGCGUAAAGGGUGCGUAGGUGGCGUGGUAAGUCGGGUGUGAAAUUUCGGAGCUUAACUCCGAAACUGCAUUCGAUACUGCUGUGCUUGAGGACUGGAGAGGAGACUGGAAUUCAUGGUGUAGCAGUGAAAUGCGUAGAGAUCAUGAGGAAGACCAGUGGCGAAGGCGGGUCUCUGGACAGUUCCUGACACUGAGACACGAAGGCCAGGGGAGCAAACGGG